CCUAAGGCCAGCGAGAGAACUGUUGUUAAGGAACUCGGCAAAAUGACCCCGUAACUUAGGGAUAAGGGGUGCCACCAUCAGGUGGCCGAAGAGAAUAGGCCCAAGCGACUGUUUACCAAAAACAUAGGUUUCUGCUAAGUCGCAAGACGAUGUAUAGGAGCUGACGCCUGCCCGGUGCUGGAAGGUUAAGGGGAUCUGUUAGAGCAAUCGAAGCAG
RNAcentral lists this ribosomal RNA (216 nucleotides) under Clostridioides difficile. RNAcentral's name for it is "partial 23S ribosomal RNA". It matches the Rfam family "Bacterial large subunit ribosomal RNA", at positions 1680 to 1907 of the family's 2925-position model. The record is from RNAcentral. Lineage: Bacteria; Bacillati; Bacillota; Clostridia; Peptostreptococcales; Peptostreptococcaceae.